GAGAGCACAGUACGAUGAAAGUUGUAAGCUAUGUUCGGGGGGGAGUUAUUGUCUAUCGUUGGCCUCUAUGGUAGAACCCGUCGGGGAGGCCUGAGAGGCGGUGGUUUACCCUGU
Non-coding RNA from Triticum aestivum (bread wheat), 114 nucleotides. The record is from Rfam. Lineage: Eukaryota; Viridiplantae; Streptophyta; Magnoliopsida; Poales; Poaceae.